AGCGAACGCUGGCGGCAGGCCUAACACAUGCAAGUCGAACGAACUCUUCGGAGUUAGUGGCGGACGGGUGAGUAACACGUGGGAACGUGCCUUUAGGUUCGGAAUAACUCAGGGAAACUUGUGCUAAUACCGAAUGUGCCCUUCGGGGGAAAGAUUUAUCGCCUUUAGAGCGGCCCGCGUCUGAUUAGCUAGUUGGUGAGGUAAAGGCUCGCCAAGGCGACGAUCAGUAGCUGGUCUGAGAGGAUGAUCAGCCACAUUGGGACUGCGACACGGCCCAAACUCCUACGGGAGGCAGCAGUGGGUAAUCUUGCGCAAUGGGCGAAAGCCUGACGCAGCCAUGCCGCGUGAAUGAUGAAGGUCGUAGGAUUGUAAAAUUCUUUCACCGGGGACGAUAAUGACGGUACCCGGAGAAGAAGCCCCGGCUAACUUCGUG
Molecule: ribosomal RNA, 433 nt
Filed under: uncultured bacterium
Lineage: Bacteria
Description: partial 16S ribosomal RNA
Rfam family: Bacterial small subunit ribosomal RNA
Source: RNAcentral